Molecule: ribosomal RNA, 493 nt
Filed under: Oligodon fasciolatus
Lineage: Eukaryota; Metazoa; Chordata; Lepidosauria; Squamata; Colubridae
Description: partial small subunit ribosomal RNA
Source: RNAcentral
GAAACUGAAGGCGGAUUUAGCAGUAUAUUAAGAACAAAAAUACUUAAUUGAAACCAACGCAAUGGGGUGCGCACACACCGCCCGUCACCCUGCCACCAAAACAACACAUAUAUAAUAGCUACACAUACACUAACCAGGGCAAGUCGUAACAUGGUAAGCGUACUGGAAAGUGCGCUUAGAAACAAAAAGUAGCUUACAAAAAGCAUUUGGCCUACAACCGAAAGACAUUAUACUAAUCUUUUUGAGCCUAUAACAACACACAAACAUACACCAUAGAAAAACAAAACAUUUGACUAACUCAGUAGAUGAGAUCGAACAGUAAAUACAACCAGUACCGCAAGGGAGACAAAUAAGCAACGAACAGCAAAGAUUAACCCUUGUACCUUUCGCAUCAUGGUCUAGCAAGAAACCAAAGACAAGAAGAAUCAUAGCCUCCACCCCGAAAUCAGAUGAGCUACUUUCAAGCAGCCAAGUGGGCACACCCUUCUCUGUA